CGUUAGCUAUUCCUAAAAACUUGGAUUUGAGUUAGAAGAUUUGGUUUAAUGCCCGCAUAUCAUCUUUCUCAUUCCCAUUUGCCAAUCUACGGAUAAAUGAGUCACUGUUCAAAACCGCUCAAAAGCUGAAAGCAGCACUUGCCAAAGAGAUAUAAAAAGAUGAACGACGAAAGAUGCUAUGUUAUGCGUUAGUUACAAGGAAAGGGCAUAGGUUAAUAGUAAAAUGAGUAAAAUGUGGGCUCUAUUAGGGGCUAAUUGAGGUCAAAACAGCGUGCUUCAGCGUGCUUCAUGGUAAGACCUGAGACUUCCUGCUCCUUCCUGAAGAAACAUCAGAUUCAGGAAGAAGAUUCUCUGCAUUUUGAAUGUUCUUACAAUUCAGCAAAGUCCAUAUUGUUGUGUAGUGUAGAUCUCCACCUCGUUGAAAAAAACUAUUCAAGAUAGAAGGACCCAGAAAGAGCAGUUUAAGGAGGAAAUUACAACAGAAAAGGGAAGAGCAAAGGAUUUGGCACUCAUGAAAGACCACCUCUCUCCUGGGUAAUCCGAUUUGCACCAGCUUUGUCGAAACUGAAUAUGCCGUAUGUGAUUGGAUACAACAAGUAAGCCUUCUAUAACCUAGAAGAUGAGUUUCACCAGAACCUGACUGUGCUGGAAUGAUGAUCUCAGACGUUUACCCUCCAGAACUUCGGCACAACUACUUUCAGAUUUAUCCAUUGGAGCAUGCGGCAAUAAUUCAUUCCUUUUUAUUGCUGAGAAAUAUUCCAUGGCAUGGAUGUGCCACUCUUUGUUUGCUUGUUCAGGUGUUAUGGAGCAUUUGGGUUGAAUCUGGUUUCAGGCCAUUACAAAUAAAGCUGCUAUCAACAUUAUGUACAAGUCUUUGUAUGGACAUAUACUUUUAUUUCUCUUGGAUAAAUACCUAGCAGUGAAACGACUAUAUCAGACGAAAGGUGAAUGCUUAACUUUUAAAGAAAUUACCAAACUAUUCCAAAGUGAUUGUACCAUGUGAUUAGCAGUGUAUGAAGGCUUUAGUUCCUCCAAAUCCUUGCCCACACUUGUUACGAUCCUUAUUUAUCUGUAAGCAUGCUGAAAAAUGUGCAUUAUAAAACAGUUUCAAUUUGCAUCUUUUAAAAUAUUGAGCAUCUUUUCAUUUGCUCUCUUGCCAUGUAUUUGUCUUCUUUGGUGAAAUGUCUUUUCAAAUAUUUUGCUCAUUUGAUUUAUUGGUUAUAUGCUUUCUUAUUAUUGAGUUUUAGAGUUCUUUAUAUAUGCACAAUACAAUACAGACUUGUGAUAAAAGUGAGUGGCUUGUCCUUUUAGUCUCAUAAUAGUGUCCUUUAAAGAGCAAAUAAUUUGGGGGGCUCCUGGGUGGCUCAGUCGGUUAAGUGUCCAACUUCGGCUCAGGUCAUGAUCUCAAGGUUUGUGGGUUCGAG
Long non-coding RNA from Felis catus (domestic cat), 1424 nucleotides. RefSeq lists it as uncharacterized. The transcript is spliced from 3 exons. The record is from RefSeq and is a predicted model, not a curated record. Lineage: Eukaryota; Metazoa; Chordata; Mammalia; Carnivora; Felidae.